RNAcentral lists this ribosomal RNA (468 nucleotides) under uncultured bacterium. RNAcentral describes it as "partial 16S ribosomal RNA". It matches the Rfam family "Bacterial small subunit ribosomal RNA", at positions 28 to 507 of the family's 1533-position model. The record is from RNAcentral.
GACGAACGCUGGCGGCGUGCUUAACACAUGCAAGUCGAACGGAAAGGCCCUGCUUUUGUGGGGUGCUCGAGUGGCGAACGGGUGAGUAACACGUGAGUAACCUGCCCUGUACUGUGGGAUAACUUCAGGAAACUGGUGCUAAUACCGGAUAGGAGCUCCUGCUGCAGGGUGGGGGUUGGAAAGUUUCGGCGGUUGGGGAUGGACUCGCGGCUUAUCAGCUGGUUGGUGGGGUAGUGGCUUACCAAGGCUUCGACGGGUAGCCGGCAUGAGAGGGUGACCGGCCACAUUGGGACUGAGAUACGGCGCAGACUCCUACGGGAGGCAGCAGUGGGGAAUAUUGCACAAUGGGCGGAAGCCUGAUGCAGCAACGCCGCGUGCGGGAUGACGGCCUUCGGGUUGUAAACCGCUUUCGCCUGUGACGAAGCGUGAGUGACGGUAAUGGGUAAAGAAGCACCGGCUAACUACGUG